AGAGUUUGAUUCUGGCUCAGGACGAACGCUGGCGGCGUGCCUAAUACAUGCAAGUCGAACGCUUUUUCUUUCACCGGAGCUUGCUCCACCGAAAGAAAAAGAGUGGCGAACGGGUGAGUAACACGUGGGUAACCUGCCCAUCAGAAGGGGAUNACACUUGGAAACAGGUGCUAAUACCGUAUAACACUAUUUUCCGCAUGGAAGAAAGUUGAAAGGCGCUUUUGCGUCACUGAUGGAUGGACCCGCGGUGCAUUAGCUAGUUGGUGAGGUAACGGCUCACCAAGGCCACGAUGCAUAGCCGACCUGAGAGGGUGAUCGGCCACACUGGGACUGAGACACGGCCCAGACUCCUACGGGAGGCAGCAGUAGGGAAUCUUCGGCAAUGGACGAAAGUCUGACCGAGCAACGCCGCGUGAGUGAAGAAGGUUUUCGGAUCGUAAAACUCUGUUGUUAGAGGAGAACAAGGAUGAGAGUAGAACGUUCAUCCCUUGACGGUAUCUAACCAGAAAGCCACGGCUAACUACGUGCCAGCAGCCGCGGUAAUACGUAGGUGGCAAGCGUUGUCCGGAUUUAUUGGGCGUAAAGCGAGCGCAGGCGGUUUCUUAAGUCUGAUGUGAAAGCCCCCGGCUCAACCGGGGAGGGUCAUUGGAAACUGGGAGACUUGAGUGCAGAAGAGGAGAGUGGAAUUCCAUGUGUAGCGGUGAAAUGCGUAGAUAUAUGGAGGAACACCAGUGGCGAAGGCGGCUCUCUGGUCUGUAACUGACGCUGAGGCUCGAAAGCGUGGGGAGCGAACAGGAUUAGAUACCCUGGUAGUCCACGCCGUAAACGAUGAGUGCUAAGUGUUGGAGGGUUUCCGCCCUUCAGUGCUGCAGCAAACGCAUUAAGCACUCCGCCUGGGGAGUACGACCGCAAGGUUGAAACUCAAAUGAAUUGACGGGG
RNAcentral lists this ribosomal RNA (939 nucleotides) under uncultured Bacillota bacterium. RNAcentral's name for it is "bacterial SSU rRNA". It matches the Rfam family "Bacterial small subunit ribosomal RNA", at positions 8 to 918 of the family's 1533-position model. The record is from RNAcentral. Lineage: Bacteria; Bacillati; Bacillota.